This 871-nucleotide long non-coding RNA is filed under the name Sus scrofa (pig). RNAcentral's name for it is "lncRNA (ENSSSCG00070009024.1)". Lineage: Eukaryota; Metazoa; Chordata; Mammalia; Artiodactyla; Suidae. The record is from RNAcentral.
AUGAACUGCCCACUGAAGGGACCACCUGGCCAGGGUGCUUCCAGAACAAGCAGCUGCUUCAAGCCAGUGCCCAGCUCUUCCCGCCCCUGGAGCCACUGGAGGGGCCUUCGAUUCCAUGAGGACCGAAGCCUGAGCUCUCCCUCGCCUUCCACCCUGAAACCCAGACUCCUGGAGCUGUGGGAGCAGAGAUUACACACAGGGGUCAUUCAAGACCUGCCUCCGCUGCUUACAAGUUCAGGACCUUGGGUGGACACGAGGACCAGCAAGGCCGCAGAGCCCUGGUCUGAGGCUGGUGCCCCGUGUGCGGAAGUUGGCUGGUAUCACUGUGGCGAUUACUGCCUGCUGACUGCUUUCCUGGCCGGGCCUUUGGGGCCGGGUUUGGACCCCAGCAGAGAGCUACCCCGUAGGUGCUCACUCAACCUGGGACAUGAACAGGAUGGGGGCAGCCCCAGGAUGCUGCACCUGUGCCAUCAGCAAACAGCACGGGUCCCGGGGGAGCCUGGCAAGAUGCUUUUCCAAGCAGUUAGUUAGUUUCUCUGGGGGACUUGAGCAUCUGUUCCUGGUGGGGCUGAGCAAUCAAGCAGGUCCUUCCUCCUCUUUCUCCAGGAGGCAGGGGCUGGGCCCGGCCUCCUCAUCCCCUUGUCCCCCCUCCCCCCCAGUUGUCCACCAUAAUUAGGCUCAUUGCAGUUCAGGAGGGGGCGUCCGUGCCCCUUCUCCACCCCCAGACUCAGGGUGGCCCAGGCUGGGGGUCUCCCCUCCCUCAAGGGCAUUGCUGCCCCUUCUGAAGGUGGGUGGGGCGCCCUGGCCAAGCCUGCGGCAGGGGUGGGCUCUUCUGUCCUCCUCCCAUCCCAGCCCCCAGCCCUGCCUGGGC